This 484-nucleotide ribosomal RNA is filed under the name uncultured bacterium. RNAcentral's name for it is "partial 16S ribosomal RNA". It matches the Rfam family "Bacterial small subunit ribosomal RNA", at positions 30 to 507 of the family's 1533-position model. The record is from RNAcentral.
AUUGAACGCUGGCGGCAGGCCUAACACAUGCAAGUCGAGCGGAUGAAGGGAGCUUGCUCCUGGAUUCAGCGGCGGACGGGUGAGUAAUGCCUAGGAAUCUGCCUGGUAGUGGGGGGUAACGUCCGGAAACGGGCGCUAAUACCGCAUACGUCCUGAGGGAGAAAGUGGGGGAUCUUCGGACCUCACGCUAUCAGAUGAGCCUAGGUCGGAUUAGCUAGUUGGUGGGGUAAAGGCCUACCAAGGCGACGAUCCGUAACUGGUCUGAGAGGAUGAUCAGUCACACUGGAACUGAGACACGGUCCAGACUCCUACGGGAGGCAGCAGUGGGGAAUAUUGGACAAUGGGCGAAAGCCUGAUCCAGCCAUGCCGCGUGUGUGAAGAAGGUCUUCGGAUUGUAAAGUACUUUAAGUUGGGAGGAAGGGCAGUAAGUUAAUACCUUGCUGUUUUGACGUUACCAACAGAAUAAGCACCGGCUAACUUCGUG